Molecule: ribosomal RNA, 393 nt
Filed under: uncultured bacterium
Lineage: Bacteria
Description: partial 16S ribosomal RNA
Rfam family: Bacterial small subunit ribosomal RNA
Source: RNAcentral
AUACGGAGGAUGCAAGCGUUAUCCGGAUUUAUUGGGUUUAAAGGGUGCGUAGGCUGACGUGUAAGUCAGAGGUGAAAUGUCCGGGCUCAACCUGGGAACUGCCUUUGAUACUGCAUGUCUGGAGUUCGGAUGCCGUGGGAGGAAUGGGCAGUGUAGCGGUGAAAUGCAUAGAUAUUGCCCAGAACACCGAUUGCGAAGGCAUCUCACGAAUCCGACACUGACGCUGAGGCACGAAAGCGUGGGGAUCAAACAGGAUUAGAUACCCUUGUAGUCCACGCAGUAAACGAUGAUAACUAACCGUCGGCGAUAGACAGUCGGUGGCCAAGCGAAAGCGAUAAGUUAUCCACCUGGGGAGUACGGCCGCAAGGUUAAAACUCAAAUGAAUUGACGGGU